CCCCCUGGCUUGCAGCAUAUUAAUUAGGGGGAGGGGAAGACAUUGUGAGGAUUUUCUUGGUAGCGGCGAGAGCCAAGACAACCGGUCCCCACUAAGGCACGUUGUCUGUAUGGGCCAUAUGAGAUGCAGUGUCUGGAGCUUCCAUUACUCUAGUAUGAGAAAUUAAUGAUUUAAGUCCUUCUUAAAUGAGGGCAUUUACCCAUAGAGGGUGCCGUUAAUGAUUACUAGAUGAUGUUUCCAAAGAGUCGUGUUGCUUGAUAGUGCAGCACUAAGUGGAUGGUAAACUCCAUCUUAAACUAAAUAUAACCAUGAGACCGAUAGUAAACAAGUACCGUGAGGGAAAGUUGAAAAGAAGUCUGAAUAGAGAGUUAAACAGUACGUGAAACUGCUUAGAGGUUAAGCCCGAUGAACCUGAAUAUCCGUUAUGGAAAAUUCAUCAUUAAAAUUGUAAUAUAUAAAUAAUAUUAUUAAGAAUAAUGUGCAUUUUUUCCAUAUAAGGACAUUGUAAUCUAUUAGCAUAUCCCAAAAUUAUCAUAAAAUAUAACUGUUUAGCUAUUGAGCUUUUUCAAUAGCUGUUGCGAAUAAUAAAAAACCGAAGAAAGUUUGUUUUUAUGACGACAGUUUUUAUUUUGCGAAUAGUUUAAGGCAGCUAAGGCCUAAGCUAAGUCUUUUCCGAAACACGACGAAAUGGCAAUUGGCGGGCAGGCUGCCGAAAUGCAGCGCCCAAGCUUAACGUAGGUAGCUAACAACAACAAACAAGGGAUGAGAGCCGUACAGAUAAAUGCGUGCGAGAGCAGCGGUUUGCACUAUGGGCAUCGCAACUGCUACCACUGACUAAUUUGGCUUAAAUAUUAACAAGUAUGAGAUUAGUCUACUGCACAGUUUUGGCGGCUGCAUGACCCAACAUAAUGAGUUAAAUUUUGUUUUCGUUAUAAUGUUUUUCAUCUAUUUGUUCAAUUCUGCCUCUUUUCAUAAAUGGAUUUUUAAAUUUUGAGCGUGUUCCUUGAAUUCAUCGUAUGAGUUUAUGCCGUUUAAUUAUACUUUUUAAAAUUGUUACGUUACUGUUUUUGUUAAUAGUUUCUAAUACGCAUUUUGAAAUAUGA
Molecule: non-coding RNA, 1103 nt
Filed under: Drosophila sechellia
Lineage: Eukaryota; Metazoa; Arthropoda; Insecta; Diptera; Drosophilidae
Description: Eukaryotic large subunit ribosomal RNA
Rfam family: Eukaryotic large subunit ribosomal RNA (bases 1-720)
Source: Rfam by way of RNAcentral